GAAGACCUUCUCAGACCUUCUGGGAGUCCAGUUUCAUAAAGGUAGAAAAUGAAGUCUAAAGCAUAGUUGCCAAUGCUGUGCAAGAGUUGAGUAGUGAAAAGCUUUUUAUCCUCCUGGAGGCACAUAGAGAUACAAUACUGCUGAGGUGCAGACAUCUUUUCUACAAACUCCAUGUCAUUUAGUUGGUGACUGACAUAACAGAUAAAGAAAAUGUGAUGGAAGCUACAAGAAAGCUAAAGGUGUACGAAAGUUUUUAAGCUCUGCAG
Molecule: non-coding RNA, 266 nt
Organism: Lonchura striata (white-rumped munia)
Lineage: Eukaryota; Metazoa; Chordata; Aves; Passeriformes; Estrildidae
Source: RefSeq, a predicted model, not a curated record